UUAAGUUAUUAAGGGCGCACGGUGGAUGCCUUGGCACUAGAAGCCGAUGAAGGACGUUACUAACGACGAUAUGCUUUGGGGAGCUGUAAGUAAGCUUUGAUCCAGAGAUUUCCGAAUGGGGAAACCCAGCAUGAGUUAUGUCAUGUUAUCGAUAUGUGAAUACAUAGCAUAUCAGAAGGCACACCCGGAGAACUGAAACAUCUUAGUACCCGGAGGAAGAGAAAGAAAAUUCGAUUCCCUUAGUAGCGGCGAGCGAAACGGGAAGAGCCCAAACCAACAAGCUUGCUUCUCUAGUGACCGAUAGUGAACCAGUACCGUGAGGGAAAGGUGAAAAGCACCCCGGAAGGGGAGUGAAAUAGAACCUGAAACCGUGUGCUUACAAGUAGUCAGAGCCCGUUAAUGGGUGAUGGCGUGCCUUUUGUAGAAUGAACCGGCGAGUUACGAUUUGAUGCAAGGUUAAGCAGUAAAUGUGGAGCCGUAGCGAAAGCGAGUCUGAAUAGGGCGUUUAGUAUUUGGUCGUAGACCCGAAACCAGGUGAUCUACCCUUGGUCAGGUUGAAGUUCAGGUAACACUGAAUGGAGGACCGAACCGACUUACGUUGAAAAGUGAGCGGAUGAACUGAGGGUAGCGGAGAAAUUCCAAUCGAACCUGGAGAUAGCUGGUUCUCUCCGAAAUAGCUUUAGGGCUAGCCUCAAGUGAUGAUUAUUGGAGGUAGAGCACUGUUUGGACGAGGGGCCCCUCUCGGGUUACCGAAUUCAGACAAACUCCGAAUGCCAAUUAAUUUAACUUGGGAGUCAGAACAUGGGUGAUAAGGUCCGUGUUCGAAAGGGAAACAGCCCAGACCACCAGCUAAGGUCCCAAAAUAUAUGUUAAGUGGAAAAGGAUGUGGCGUUGCCCAGACAACUAGGAUGUUGGCUUAGAAGCAGCCAUCAUUUAAAGAGUGCGUAAUAGCUCACUAGUCGAGUGACACUGCGCCGAAAAUGUACCGGGGCUAAACAUAUUACCGAAGCUGUGGAUUGUCCUUUGGACAAUGGUAGGAGAGCGUUCUAAGGGCGUUGAAGCAUGAUCGUAAGRACAUGUGGAGCGCUUAGAAGUGAGAAUGCCGGUGUGAGUAGCGAAAGACGGGUGAGAAUCCCGUCCACCGAUUGACUAAGGUUUCCAGAGGAAGGCUCGUCCGCUCUGGGUUAGUCGGGUCCUAAGCUGAGGCCGACAGGCGUAGGCGAUGGAUAACAGGUUGAUAUUCCUGUACCACCUAUAAUCGUUUUAAUCGAUGGGGGGACGCAGUAGGAUAGGCGAAGCGUGCGAUUGGAUUGCACGUCUAAGCAGUAAGGCUGAGUAUUAGGCAAAUCCGGUACUCGUUAAGGCUGAGCUGUGAUGGGGAGAAGACAUUGUGUCUUCGAGUCGUUGAUUUCACACUGCCGAGAAAAGCCUCUAGAUAGAAAAUAGGUGCCCGUACCGCAAACCGACACAGGUAGUCAAGAUGAGAAUUCUAAGGUGAGCGAGCGAACUCUCGUUAAGGAACUCGGCAAAAUGACCCCGUAACUUCGGGAGAAGGGGUGCUCUUUAGGGUUAACGCCCAGAAGAGCCGCAGUGAAUAGGCCCAAGCGACUGUUUAUCAAAAACACAGGUCUCUGCUAAACCGUAAGGUGAUGUAUAGGGGCUGACGCCUGCCCGGUGCUGGAAGGUUAAGAGGAGUGGUUAGCUUCUGCGAAGCUACGAAUCGAAGCCCCAGUAAACGGCGGCCGUAACUAUAACGGUCCUAAGGUAGCGAAAUUCCUUGUCGGGUAAGUUCCGACCCGCACGAAAGGCGUAACGAUUUGGGCACUGUCUCAACGAGAGACUCGGUGAAAUCAUAGUACCUGUGAAGAUGCAGGUUACCCGCGACAGGACGGAAAGACCCCGUGGAGCUUUACUGUAGCCUGAUAUUGAAAUUCGGCACAGCUUGUACAGGAUAGGUAGGAGCCUUUGAAACGUGAGCGCUAGCUUACGUGGAGGCGCUGGUGGGAUACUACCCUAGCUGUGUUGGCUUUCUAACCCGCACCACUUAUCGUGGUGGGAGACAGUGUCAGGCGGGCAGUUUGACUGGGGCGGUCGCCUCCUAAAAGGUAACGGAGGCGCUCAAAGGUUCCCUCAGAAUGGUUGGAAAUCAUUCAUAGAGUGUAAAGGCAUAAGGGAGCUUGACUGCGAGACCUACAAGUCGAGCAGGGUCGAAAGACGGACUUAGUGAUCCGGUGGUUCCGCAUGGAAGGGCCAUCGCUCAACGGAUAAAAGCUACCCCGGGGAUAACAGGCUUAUCUCCCCCAAGAGUUCACAUCGACGGGGAGGUUUGGCACCUCGAUGUCGGCUCAUCGCAUCCUGGGGCUGUAGUCGGUCCCAAGGGUUGGGCUGUUCGCCCAUUAAAGCGGUACGCGAGCUGGGUUCAGAACGUCGUGAGACAGUUCGGUCCCUAUCCGUCGUGGGCGUAGGAAAUUUGAGAGGAGCUGUCCUUAGUACGAGAGGACCGGGAUGGACAUACCUCUGGUGUACCAGUUGUCGUGCCAACGGCAUAGCUGGGUAGCUAUGUGUGGACGGGAUAAGUGCUGAAAGCAUCUAAGCAUGAAGCCCCCCUCAAGAUGAGAUUUCCCAACUUCGGUUAUAAGAUCCCUCAAAGAUGAUGAGGUUAAUAGGUUCGAGGUGGAAGCAUGGUGACAUGUGGAGCUGACGAAUACUAAUCGAUCGAAGACUUAAUCAA
RNAcentral lists this ribosomal RNA (2731 nucleotides) under Staphylococcus aureus. RNAcentral describes it as "bacterial LSU rRNA". Lineage: Bacteria; Bacillati; Bacillota; Bacilli; Caryophanales; Staphylococcaceae. The record is from RNAcentral.